RNAcentral lists this ribosomal RNA (141 nucleotides) under Spirostomum teres. RNAcentral describes it as "5.8S ribosomal RNA". It matches the Rfam family "5.8S ribosomal RNA". Rfam says of the family: 5.8S ribosomal RNA (5.8S rRNA) is a component of the large subunit of the eukaryotic ribosome. It is transcribed by RNA polymerase I as part of the 45S precursor that also contains 18S and 28S rRNA. The record is from RNAcentral. Lineage: Eukaryota; Ciliophora; Heterotrichea; Heterotrichida; Spirostomidae.
ACUGAAAACCUCAGCGAUGGAUAUCUCGGCUCCUGCCUCGAGGAAGAACGCAGCGAACUGCGAAAAGCACUGCGAAUUGCAGAACUCAGUGAGUCAGCAGCUCUUUGAACGCACUCGGCGCACCGCGUGCUUGCUUCAGUG